GAGUUUGAUCAUGGCUCAGAACGAACGCUGGCGGCAUGCCUAACACAUGCAAGUCGAACGGGAUCCAGGCUUCGGCCUGGUGAGAGUGGCGGACGGGUGAGUAACGCGUGGGAACCUGCCCAAUGGUCUGGGAUAACCGCGGGAAACUGCGGCUAAUACCGGGUAAGCCCGAAAGGGGAAAGAUUUAUCGCCGAUGGAGGGGCCCGCGUCCGAUUAGGUAGUUGGUGGGGUAAUGGCCUACCAAGCCUACGAUCGGUAGCUGGUCUGAGAGGAUGAUCAGCCACACUGGGACUGAGAUACGGCCCAGACUCCUACGGGAGGCAGCAGUGGGGAAUAUUGGACAAUGGGGGCAACCCUGAUCCAGCAAUGCCGCGUGAGUGAUGAAGGCCUUAGGGUUGUAAAGCUCUUUUGGCGGGGACGAUGAUGACGGUACCCGCAGAAUAAGCCCCGGCUAACUUCGUGCCAGCAGCCGCCGUAAC
RNAcentral lists this ribosomal RNA (479 nucleotides) under uncultured bacterium. RNAcentral's name for it is "bacterial SSU rRNA". It matches the Rfam family "Bacterial small subunit ribosomal RNA", at positions 9 to 524 of the family's 1533-position model. The record is from RNAcentral.